UUGGGACUGGGCCUAAUUCUGUCCACUUCAAUCAUUUAGUUCAGAUUUCAGUUUGAACCUUCAGCUCACAGCUUUUAUUCUUUAUUCAGAUUGGAGCGCUGCAGUUUGUCAGAGAUCAGCUGUUCUUCUCUGGBCUCAGCUCUGAAGUCCAACCCCUCCCAUCUGACUGAACUGGACCUGAGCUGGAACAGCCUUCACGCUCCAGAUGUUCAGCAGCUGUUGGAUCUUGUGGAGAGUCCAGACUACAAACUUCAGACUCUGAGCUGAAGUUGUGCAGCUUCAACAUGUAUCUGACUGUUUGACUGCAGUUGUUGUGGAAACUUUUUUCCUAAAUGAACGUUGAUUUCUUCAUUUUGGACCUGAAAAUGUUUUCUUUCCCUCAUAAAGCUGUGAAGUGUUGAAUAAAGUGAGUCUUGUUUGUCCUGA
Molecule: long non-coding RNA, 426 nt
Organism: Austrofundulus limnaeus
Lineage: Eukaryota; Metazoa; Chordata; Actinopteri; Cyprinodontiformes; Rivulidae
Exons: 2
Source: RefSeq, a predicted model, not a curated record